GUGCUUGCUUUGGCAGCACAUAUACAAAAAUUUGAACAAUACAGAGAAGAUUAGCACGGCCCCUGAGCAAGGAUGACACGCAAAUUCAUGAAGUAUUCCAUACUUAA
Molecule: small nuclear RNA, 107 nt
Organism: Nycticebus coucang (slow loris)
Lineage: Eukaryota; Metazoa; Chordata; Mammalia; Primates; Lorisidae
Source: RefSeq, a predicted model, not a curated record